This 2516-nucleotide long non-coding RNA is filed under the name Equus caballus (horse). RNAcentral's name for it is "lncRNA (ENSECAG00000056435.1)". Lineage: Eukaryota; Metazoa; Chordata; Mammalia; Perissodactyla; Equidae. The record is from RNAcentral.
CUGGUACAUAAAAGGGAGAGAAAGUUCUGGGCUGUUUUUCCUUUUCAAGAGGAAAGACCGUCCCAGCGAGCCUGGUUAGGACUCGAUCUGACCAGCAGAGGGAGCAAGAGCCAUUGGAGACGCAGGCGCUGUGUGUGUGGGGGGUGAGUGAGUGUGUGUGUGUGUGUGUGUGUGUGCGUGCGCGCACACGCGCGGCCUCCGCGAGAGCUAGAUUUCCUGGAAACACUUACAGCGAGGAACACGUUUAUAAGAGUUAUUUUUCUGUCAUAGUCUUUCCCUUCCCAUGUUCCUUGCAAGAUUCGUCACAUGGCAGCUGCAAAGGCCUGCAAAGGCUCAGGGCUUGGGAAAGUCAAGGCCCUGGCCCCCUUGUCCGCCCGCAUUUCAACAGCUGGAGAGGAUUUAGAUGGAAUUGAGGGAAGAUGAGAAAGGAUGGGCCCUGAGCAGCACUCGCACCCACGGCGGCCUUCGCACAGGUCACAGCUCUCAGCAGCCAGGGUUCUCCAGAGGAGUCAGCCCUCAGAGUCGGUUGGGACUGCCACUGAAGGGAGUGAGCGCCCCAUCAUCAGGGGUGUGCAAGGAGCUAGAAAGGCAGAUAAGGAAACACUUCUGACAUGGACAUGAAUAUAUUGGUGCGGGGAACUGAGCCUAGGCUGGCUCUCGGCAGACCACCGCCCCUGACUGUCUUUGUACAGCCCCUAAACCGAGGAUGAUUUUACAUUUUCAAGUGGGUGAAACAAAUAAAAACGAGAAUAUUAUGUGAUGUGAAAAUUACAUGAAAUUCAGGGUUUCGUGUGCAUCCAUGAAGUCUGAGGGGAACACAGCCACGCUCGUCAUGGGUGUUAUCCGCGGCCGCCUUCACCCUGAGCAGCAGAGUGGAGUCGCGGCAACAGACCUGUGUGACCCCCGCCGCCUCAAAUGGCUACUUCUCCAGCCUUUUACAGGAAGAGUUUUGUGACCCCUAAUCUAGGCUGUUGAAAUUGGCAGGAGAAGGAUGCAUCCAGUCCAAGCCCUAUUAUUUCAUUUGGGGAAACUGAGCCUUGGGCAGGGAAUGGGCUUGCUCAAGGGCAGCAGUCAGGGGUCACAGGGCCCCCCAUGGCUCUGCAAGGCACUUGGUAUUUCCCAUCACGGCCCCUGAGGCGUCCCAGCAUGGAGGGGCAGGUACGAGACUGUGCAGGAGCACAGUGGGAUGGGGGGCAGGAAAGCCCAGUGCCAGGGGAACGCGCACCAGGCUCUGGGCCAUCCUCUGCUCAGACACCAGGAGGAGGCGGGCUGGCCUACAGCCUGGGGACCAGAGGCUGGUCUUGGCCUGGCAUCCAAGAAGUGGGGCAGCUGUGGCCUCUCUCUGUCCCCUGUGGGUCCCCCUCUCCCCCAAGUCCUCAGGAGGAGAAGGGACGUGUGUCAGGGAGGGCAGGCACAAGUACAAGUCCCGCUUGAACUAGGCUGUGCCAGCUGGUCUCCUACCUGCUGUUGGAAGACAUCCUGGAGGAGGUGUUACUCCAACGCGCCCAGCUGGGGGGCAGGGCUGGGAGCAGACCCCGGCCCACGGCACAGGCCACAGAACCUCCAAGGGCUCUGCGCCUGGCACCUGGGGGCCCCGGGGAGCGCGAGCCCCCUCCCCCGUUAUCGGGAGGUCCGAUCUGUCCUCUGACUGAAGGAGGCCGGGAAGGGAGGGGGGCAGCGGGGAAGGGGAGAGGACAGCGCAGAGCAACAGAGGAAGGAGCAGCAGGGGAGGAGGCCGAGUGAGAGAUGGAAGAAGAAAGAAAGAGAGCAAAUGGAAGGAAGAGAGAAAGGAGAGCAAAGAAGGAAGGAAAAGAAAAAAGAAAGAGAACGCGCAGCCGUUUCCCGGCGCCUCGUGUCCGGCUGGAGGGACCGGCUCCCCCUGGGACCUCUCCUUCCAGUCCUGCGGCUUUGGGGGACGGUGACGGGGCGACCCGACACCUGCCAGGAUGGGGGGCCAGCACGCGCCCCGUCGUGAAGGCCGGAGCGGCCCUGCGCCGGAGUGGGGUCCAGGAUGAGCACCCGGGCGGGGGUCACACUCACCUCCCAGCCUGGCGCGCUUGUCCCCAGCGCGCAGCGCCCUUAGCGCAGGGCACGCUCUCGAGGGCUCCGCGGGGGUCCCCAGGCCUCCCACACCCGGCCUCGCCCUCGGCGCACGCCGCGGACCCCACGGAGUUGAGCUCUGGCGGCUGCCAGGCCCGGCCCGGGUGUGGCCUCUGGCGCCGGGUUCGCAGGACUCGGACCCAAGGUCGCUGCUGAGCCGCCGCCGGCUGAGGGUGGGCGUGAAGUGGGGGCGGGGCGGCCCAAGGGCCUGGAGCGCCUGGGUCUGCGCCACGUCCCGCAGGGUUGCCCUGGUCCCCCGGCCACCAAGAACCGGGUCCCAGCUGGGUCGGGUCACGGUAGCUAUUACCCGCCUACGGAUCUGCCUUUUACAACUCACACUUCUAAAGAAAACUACACAUUCAAAAAAAUAGCUACAAAACAAAAAUAAAGUCACCGAUUCCAAAGGAACAAAUCUU